GGCCAACAGAUCGCCAGAUCGUUGAGCUGCAUUGGCGGGAUUUCGCCGUCUACGUUUCUCUUUCUUCGCGGACGAACACGCGCUGGGGCUGCAGGCUUGCAGAAUCCCUGGUCCUUAACAGGAUAAGCGUUAGGGGCUUGUAGCUCAGUUGGUUAGAGCGCGCGCUUGAUAAGCGUGAGGUCGGAAGUUCAAGUCUUCCCAGGCCCACCACUUUCAUCGAGUGAGCAUUCGUCUUCUGGUUACGGGGCCAUAGCUCAGCUGGGAGAGCGCGUGCUUUGCAAGCAUGAGGUCGUCGGUUCGAUCCCGUCUGGCUCCACCAGAUGGUUUGAUCACCGAGAUCUUGUACCGUCGUCCGCGAAACAUCACUUCGCAUCCUGCUAGUCUGGAUAGACAGCAAGAUGCGUGAUUUCUGACAUCGUAAAGAGGAGAUCGAUCCGAGUUGGAUCGUGCGGCAAGCAAUUGCCACGCGAGACUUCAUUAUCUCCGGAUCAUUUCGGCGCUCGUGCGUCCUUCAAGGUCAAACUUGGAAGACAUGCGAGUUGUAAAUGAUCCUUUUAGCGAAGCUUGACCGCCUCGCUAUCGGAACGAUCUUACGAAGCAAGCUGGUCUUUCUAGUCAAUGUCCGGCUGCAGAUAGCGUUCAUCGAGGGCGCGUGCCGCAAGGCAAUUCUGCAGACAACAUUCUGCCGAGUGUGUGGACAUUGAUAAUGAGAGCAAUCAAGUGCCUUAAGGGUGUUCGGUGGAUGCCUUGGCGCUGAGAGGCGAUGAAGGACGUGCUACGCUGCGAUAAGCCGUGGGGAGCUGCGAAGAAGCUUUGAUCCGCGGAUUU
RNAcentral lists this unclassified non-coding RNA (828 nucleotides) under Bradyrhizobium sp. ST3. Its description in RNAcentral is "partial 16S-23S ribosomal RNA intergenic spacer". The stretch from base 715 to 828 matches the Rfam family "Bacterial large subunit ribosomal RNA", at positions 1 to 113 of the family's 2925-position model. The record is from RNAcentral. Lineage: Bacteria; Pseudomonadati; Pseudomonadota; Alphaproteobacteria; Hyphomicrobiales; Nitrobacteraceae.